UGGACGUGGAACGGCGCCUCCAAUCAUCUUGUUAGCUUGUUAGCCUGUUAGCUUGCUAGCGUGCUGCUGUCACCUGUGUAAUCCCACCUAGCGCUACUUGCUCAACUCGGAGAGACUCGCUACUUUACUACUACUACUUUGUUUGAGGUGAUGGAGAUCCAAAGCUGAUAAUAUAAUAUAUCAAGUACCAAAGUUCACUUUAUUGAGGAGCCAAUGCCCUUGAACUUGAAAAACGGAGCAGAUUGAAGACGAAUAAGAGACUGAAGUGAUAUUGGUUGCACCAUAGAACAACACUCACACAGUGGGUGUGCAGGGAGCUUUGGUGGGACCUUUGUGGGUUGGCCUGGUGCUGGAGUGGAGCUCCCAUGUGGCUUUGCUCAAUGGUGACUGAACCAUAAGAACAGAGGGACAGAGGGCUGCACACCACGGGGACUCGGGGAUGGCUCAACCUACUGUGGGAGGACCGCAGCCUUGGCGUUGCAUAGAGAGCGGCUGAUGUUUUAAUCAUGGCCGCAGGGCUCAUUGUGAUGUGCAGCCACCUCUGGGGUCUCUAAUUGUCUCAGGCCAGGCUGGCUCUGCUGAUCACCCUGCGUCUGGAAUGGCUAAUGACUCACUGCAAGAACCACGGAGCUUCCUCAUCAGGUGCAUGCGGCUAGAGACAUUCGAGGAGUAAACGGCGCUGGCUGCUUCCAGGAACGCGGAGACCUGUCCCUGCAGCACAACGCAUGUUUCCUUUGCCUUGUUUGCACAGCACACAGUGUUCAUGUCCGCUCCCCAGCCAGCUGGCCUGUGUUUGAAG
Betta splendens (Siamese fighting fish) is the source of this 799-nucleotide long non-coding RNA. RefSeq lists it as uncharacterized. NCBI's taxonomy places the organism in Eukaryota, Metazoa, Chordata, Actinopteri, Anabantiformes, Osphronemidae. The record is from RefSeq and is a predicted model, not a curated record. The transcript is spliced from 7 exons.